AAAGUCAGUAUUUUAUAUAGCAAAAAUAAUGAACCUCAAACUGAAUCCUCUAAAGGCCCCAUACAAUGAAGUAGACAUUGGUGGAAGCAUUUACACCCAGUCAGCUUGAAGAGUUUCAAAUGGACCCUACCACUGAGAAAUCAAGAUGGCAGUCUACUAUGGGGAAUUGAGAAAAAUGGAUUAAUACAAGAGUCCUGUGAUAAUACACAACCAAGACAGGGUUCUUUUAACAUGGAUUCCAUGCAGUGAAUGAAGACAUAGGUUUCUUAUCCAACACAAAUGGACAGUGGAUUUGACUUUCUAAAGACUUUUUUUUGUGGACAUUUUGACAUUUGGAGAAGGAGGAUGGCACACUAACACAGAUAAUAGUUUUUAUACCUGGAAUUUUUUGUAGUUUGAUUUGUAUGAGUAUGACCUCUUGGAAUGUUAACUUUAAUAAAAUUUAUAAUACUUUAAAAUUUCUCA
Molecule: long non-coding RNA, 465 nt
Organism: Theropithecus gelada (gelada)
Lineage: Eukaryota; Metazoa; Chordata; Mammalia; Primates; Cercopithecidae
Source: Ensembl